UGCGUAGGUGGCGCCGUAAGUCGGGUGUGAAAUUUCGGAGCUUAACUCCGAAACUGCAUUCGAUACUGCGGUGCUUGAGGACUGGAGAGGAGACUGGAAUUCAUGGUGUAGCAGUGAAAUGCGUAGAGAUCAUGAGGAAGACCAGUGGCGAAGGCGGGUCUCUGGACAGUUCCUGACACUGAGGCACCAAGGGGCCAGGGGAAGCAAACG
Molecule: ribosomal RNA, 210 nt
Filed under: uncultured bacterium
Lineage: Bacteria
Description: partial 16S ribosomal RNA
Rfam family: Bacterial small subunit ribosomal RNA
Source: RNAcentral